Molecule: ribosomal RNA, 432 nt
Filed under: Neotamias cinereicollis (gray-collared chipmunk)
Lineage: Eukaryota; Metazoa; Chordata; Mammalia; Rodentia; Sciuridae
Also listed under: 1 other name
Description: partial 16S ribosomal RNA
Rfam family: Bacterial large subunit ribosomal RNA
Source: RNAcentral
GUGCAAAGGUAGCAUAAUCACUUGUUCCUUAAAUAGGGACUUGUAUGAAUGGCUUGACGAGGGUUUAACUGUCUCUUAUUCUCAAUCAGUGAAAUUGACCUUCCCGUGAAGAGGCGGGAAUAAACUAAUAAGACGAGAAGACCCUAUGGAGCUUAAAUUUUAUAGUCUAGCAUAAAAAUAAUUAUACCCAUGGGACUACAAACUUAUUGCCUACAGACUACAAAUUUUGGUUGGGGUGACCUCGGAGCACAAAACAACCUCCGAAUGAUUCUAAUCUAGACUACACCCGUCUAAAUUAAUAUUCAUAAAUUGACCCAAAAUCUUGAUCAACGGAACAAGUUACCCUAGGGAUAACAGCGCAAUCCUACUCAAGAGUUCAUAUCGACAGUUAGGGUUUACGACCUCGAUGUUGGAUCAGGACAUCCAAAUGGU